This is a long non-coding RNA of Oxyura jamaicensis (ruddy duck), 2285 nucleotides long. RefSeq lists it as uncharacterized. The record is from RefSeq and is a predicted model, not a curated record. The transcript is spliced from 3 exons. Lineage: Eukaryota; Metazoa; Chordata; Aves; Anseriformes; Anatidae.
GUUUGUUUGUUUUUAGUUUUUGGCUUUACCUCACAUUUUCCUGGAGAGAUUAAAUAAUUAAAGCUAAUGAAAGUGAGGUGUGCCAUCAGAAUUAUAUGAUCUUAGUGCUGAAUUUCCCCCGGAUUUUUUCAGAGGUACAAACUGAGCAAAAGCAUCUUAAACCUGUGGAAGGGGAUAGGUAUGCCUCAAAUACAGCUUGAAUUCCCCAAGUAAUACGGAGUGUUGACCAGAAGCCAGCGUCACAAUGCAGGCAGGUAUGUUCUGAUUCAAAGCUUAUAUCUAAUAUUUCUACUUUAUUGAGGUAAUCAGAAGGUAACCUUGCCUUGAGUAUCGAGUCUAACUGGUGUUAGCAAACCUAAGAAAAGUACUAAUUCCGUAAGUAUAGAUAGGUAUGGUUAAGUGAUAACAUUUAAACGGUAUUUUUGGAAUUUCAGGAAGGUUCUUUAAGAACAGGAACUUUUGUACCCUUCAGCAGAAGCCUCUUACCCUUCUGGAUGACAAUACAAAUUCUUAAAAUUCAGUGAUGAGAACCUUGGCCUUCUGAGGUGAAUACUUCAUCCCUAAAAUAUGCAUUUCUUUCCACCUCCUUUCCUGUGACUCAGAAAUACUGUGGCUGGCUGAUGGUGCAGAAAGAGCUGCUACAACUAAGGUAAUUUAGAAGAGGAAGGAUGGAACAGACCCAUAAUCAGAACAAUGGCUAAUGCUCUGGGAAAUGGUCUAAAUACAGUUCAUGAGGUGGCAGAGAAUAGAAGGUUUCAUUUACAGAUCUUUAUUUCCACGUAGAAUCAAGUGAUUUUCUUCCCUCUCCACAAGUGAUGAGAGGGGUUUUUGUGUUCCUGCGUGACACCAGCCCUGCAGCCCUUGACAGAAGAGACAAAAUGCUUCUCCUCACCCCCAGCAAAUGCUGGGAACAACAGUCAGCCGCGAUGGCCGGGCAGAGGCUGAGGCGGGCACAUCUCGGGCCGCCACAGCACUGAGGCCCUGAGGAGACAGCCGAGGCCCCUCAAAAUGGCGCCUCUCCCCUCAGCUCUCCCCCCAGCGGCCGGCCCGUUCUCCGGUGAGCCGCCCGCCCCCAGGAGCCUUUUUGAGGUACGCUGUCCGGCUGGGAAGGAGCAGAGCAAGGAGGUUGAGUCUGUCCCUGAACAACGUCUGUGAAAUGGCUGCAUAUUUAAGGUUGAGAGCAAGUGCGGGUGGAAGUGUGCUCGGCCUUGUCAGGUGGGUCUUCACGCUGCACACGGGAGCCGUGCUGUCCUCUCCCCAUACAGCAAUUCUGUCGCCCCUUCUGUGCUGGCUAGGCUUUCUGCUGAUAGUUAUCAAACAACUAUAAAAGUGCCACCAUUUGAAAUAUCCUUCAUGGUGGGAUUGCUGUUGACCCCUUGCCUGCUUUUCUCUCAGCAUUUCUGAUGCUGGGUGCCUGCCCCUUCAGGCCACCACACCAAUAAACACCCACCUAGGCAUGCCCGUGUCACAUUUUCACUUACAAAUGCAACAAGGUCAUAUCCCAAUUAUCCAUACUGUUGAAUUCCCAGUAUGGCCCCACCAGAGCAGCCUGAAACCACAUGGGUACGGCUGAGGGCUGUCUUUUUGCCUGAAGUCAGUCAGGCUGUGGGCACUAUUUGGGAGAUCAUGUGGAGAAAGGUAAAACACUUAAGACAUGAGAGGCAAGCCAUGCUGAGAGCAUUUAUUUGUCCAUAUGAACACCACCAGUGCUCCCAUAACGCACCAUUCCCCCCUGCAGGUGCUGUUGGGCUCUUUUAGUGACUGCAGCUGUCUGUGAGGAGAGCAAGACAGGUGCUUGGGGAGCUGUUACUGUGAUCAGGUGUUGCCUGAAAGUAAUUUAUCAGUGGGGGGGAGACAGUGGCUGUGCUGUUUUCCGAACAUAGUCUCUGGCAGCUGGGCCUCUCUGGCUUGGUGCCUCAAAUGUCCACUGUGGCACAGAAGCUGCAAGAUGGAGCCUGUGCUAGCAGUGGCUGCAGUGGCCACCAGGCUGGGCAGGCUUCCUUUCCCUGCUGCUGUGUGUGCCUGGUGGUACCAGGCAGCAGGAGAGAGCUGGACCACCACACUGGGUAUUAUGCAAUCCUAACCAGCUCUCCCUAAAUUAUACUGCCUUCAUUGGUGUCCUUCCCCAGCACAAGAGGGAAUCUGUGAUGGGGUGUAACUUGUGGUCAAGACACUGAUGAGAAUUAAAAGAACCUGCACCCAAGAACAAUGUUUGAGUGGACUUCUGGAGCAUAAGCACUUUAUCAGGAGAUAACAACCAGGAAGUAAGUGCCUCCCCCGGAAGG